GCGCGAUAGCUCAGUUGGUAGAGCAGUGGUCUCAUUAUCCGGUGACCUGGGUUCGAAACCAAGUCGAUGCG
This is a non-coding RNA of Strongylocentrotus purpuratus (purple sea urchin), 71 nucleotides long. NCBI's taxonomy places the organism in Eukaryota, Metazoa, Echinodermata, Echinoidea, Camarodonta, Strongylocentrotidae. The record is from Rfam.